AUCACAUCCUGGGGCUGUAGCCGGUCCCAAGGGUAUGGCUGUUCGCCAUUUAAAGUGGUACGUGAGCUGGGUUUAAAACGUCGUGAGACAGUUUGGUCCCUAUCUGCCGUGGGCGUUGGAAGUUUGAAUGGACCUGCUCCUAGUACGAGAGGACCGGAGUGGACGCACCUCUGGUGUACCGGUUAUGACGCCAGUCGUAUCGCCGGGUAGCUAAGUGCGGACGAGAUAACCGCUGAAAGCAUCUAAGCGGGAAACUCCCCAUAAGAUAAGACUUCCCGAGGAUAUAAUCCUCCUAAAGGUUCGUUGAAGACUACAACGUUGAUAGGUCGGGUGUGGAAGCGUAGUAAUACGUUAAGCUAACCGAUACUAAUUGACCGUGAGGCUUGAUCCU
Molecule: ribosomal RNA, 391 nt
Filed under: Nitrosomonas sp.
Lineage: Bacteria; Pseudomonadati; Pseudomonadota; Betaproteobacteria; Nitrosomonadales; Nitrosomonadaceae
Description: partial 23S ribosomal RNA
Rfam family: Bacterial large subunit ribosomal RNA
Source: RNAcentral